CAGGGUCAUCUUUUCGUGCAUUGAACUAAGUUGAGUUCAUUCCAGUUACUUCCCUUGUAUCAUUUUUAGCCAAUCAGAUCAUCGUUUUGAAUUUCCCUCCAAGUGUGUAUUGAGUUCAUGACUUUUGAGUGAGUUAAAAAGUCUAAAGUUUGAGAAAAGUUGAAUUUUUGGAGGCCAGAUAUAUUUUAAUAUGUUUUAAGGAUAUUGGAUUAAUAUUAUGCACCCAGUCACUGUGUGAAUGAUGUGUUGAUUGCCAGGUGUACAUUGUAGUUAGGUGUUUGAUAUGUUGAUUGUAAAGCAUACAAUUCCACAAAUUGUGUGCAGACUUGUUAACUAUUGUUGAUUCAGAUUAUUUGAGAUUGAGCAACAAGUGGAACUGUGUUAUUGACAGUAUACCUGAAAGGAACUUUCUGGUUUGAAUAACAGUAGAGUGGUUUUAUAUAUUAAUGUGAUUUAAUAUCAGAUUACACAGUGACAGUGAACUUUUAAUAAAUUAUAUAUCAUACGAACCAAAACCUAUUUGGAUUUGUUGUUACUUUAAUUUAACUGCAAAUACCCAAAGGU
Molecule: long non-coding RNA, 564 nt
Organism: Ruditapes philippinarum (Manila clam)
Lineage: Eukaryota; Metazoa; Mollusca; Bivalvia; Venerida; Veneridae
Exons: 3
Source: RefSeq, a predicted model, not a curated record